GGCUCAGAUUGAACGCUGGCGGCAGGCCUAACACAUGCAAGUCGAGCGAGAAAGGUCUUCGGACUGAGUACAGCGGCGGACGGGUGAGUAAUGCGCAGGAAUCUACCUGGUAGUGGGGGAUAACUCGGGGAAACUCGAACUAAUACCGCAUACGCCCUACGGGGGAAAGCGGGGGACCUUCGGGCCUCGCGCUAUCAGAUGAGCCUGCGUAGGAUUAGCUUGUUGGUGAGGUAAAGGCUCACCAAGGCGACGAUCCUUAGCUGGUCUGAGAGGAUGAUCAGCCACACUGGAACUGAGACACGGUCCAGACUCCUACGGGAGGCAGCAGUGGGGAAUAUUGCGCAAUGGGCGAAAGCCUGACGCAGCCAUGCCGCGUGUGUGAAGAAGGCCCUUGGGUUGUAAAGCACUUUCAAUUGGGAAGAAAGGUUGCGUGUUAAUAGCACGUAGCUGUGACGUUACCUUUAGAAGAAGCACCGGCUAACUCCGUG
RNAcentral lists this ribosomal RNA (488 nucleotides) under uncultured bacterium. RNAcentral describes it as "bacterial SSU rRNA". It matches the Rfam family "Bacterial small subunit ribosomal RNA", at positions 21 to 507 of the family's 1533-position model. The record is from RNAcentral.